GGAGGGAUAACUCCGUGGUUAGAGUGCGUACCUGGCAAGCACAAGGUCCUGGGUUCAAUCCCCAGUACCUCCA
RNAcentral lists this transfer RNA (73 nucleotides) under Camelus bactrianus (Bactrian camel). It matches the Rfam family "tRNA". From Rfam's summary of the family: Transfer RNA (tRNA) molecules are approximately 80 nucleotides in length. Their secondary structure includes four short double-helical elements and three loops (D, anti-codon, and T loops). Further hydrogen bonds mediate the characteristic L-shaped molecular structure. tRNAs have two regions of fundamental functional importance: the anti-codon, which is responsible for specific mRNA codon recognition, and the 3' end, to which the tRNAs corresponding amino acid is attached (by aminoacyl-tRNA synthetases). tRNAs cope with the degeneracy of the genetic code in two manners: having more than one tRNA (with a specific anti-codon) for a particular amino acid; and 'wobble' base-pairing, i.e. permitting non-standard base-pairing at the 3rd anti-codon position. Lineage: Eukaryota; Metazoa; Chordata; Mammalia; Artiodactyla; Camelidae. The record is from Rfam by way of RNAcentral. RNAcentral also lists the same sequence under 1 other name.